Molecule: long non-coding RNA, 612 nt
Organism: Seriola aureovittata
Lineage: Eukaryota; Metazoa; Chordata; Actinopteri; Carangiformes; Carangidae
Exons: 3
Source: RefSeq, a predicted model, not a curated record
CUUAUCAAAACAUUAUGUAAAACAAACGUUAAAGCAGCAGCAAAGACAUAGCCGGAAAAAGAGAAGGAUAUCAGAGCAACUGAAAUUCGUUAAAACAUACCAUCUAGCUAAACCUUUUUCAAAAGUCGGCUUGCUAGCAUUAGCAAGAGUCUGGAGAAGACGAUGCUAACGUCAAAGAAGAGGACAAUAACGUGGCAGCCAUUAAAAUUAGUUCAGCUGAGUAUUAGAGAGCCACACACCUGCAGCACCCACCUGUUCAACUGCCCCACCUUCAUAUCCACUUGAGUCCGACUGAGAGGCGGCUGUGGCAGAGCCUCAGAGGUGACAUUCCUCCGUGUCAGAGCAACAGCCUCAAGUUUAAGAUAACACUGCCAUGGUGAUCUAAGGGUGGGAAUCGAUUCCCCCCGGUGGCUGGUGAGGGGCCUCGGGGUCAGAGCUGAUGGCUUUACCUUCCGCACGCAACCUGUGAUACAAAAACACAGUAAUGCCCCUAUGAUCAUCCCUCAACAAGCCUACGGAGAGCACUGGAACGUACUACAAUAAACAUGAUGGGACAUUCCGCCGGUUGUCGUGGAAACACUGAGAAAGCACAGCUGGGCGGGAGAAUAUGAG